GAAAUGCGAUAAGUAAUGUGAAUUGCAGAAUUCAGUGAAUCAUCGAAUCAUUGAACGCACAUUGCGCUCGCCAGCUAUUCUGGCGGGCAUGCCUGUCCGAGCGUCAUUUCAACCAUCAAGCCCCAUGGCUUGUGUUGGGGAACUACGCGCUGCUGAGUAGGCCCUGAAAAGCAGUGGCGGGCUCGUCGAACCACCGAGCGUAGUAGCAUCAUUUCUCGCUCAGGGACGUGGUUCGGGUCCCGGCCGUAAAAAGAUGAUUUAACCCAAGGUUGACCUCGGAUCAGGUAGGAAUACCCACUGAACUUAA
RNAcentral lists this unclassified non-coding RNA (307 nucleotides) under uncultured Thielavia. RNAcentral's name for it is "sequence contains ITS1". The stretch from base 1 to 106 matches the Rfam family "5.8S ribosomal RNA", at positions 50 to 154 of the family's 154-position model. Lineage: Eukaryota; Fungi; Ascomycota; Sordariomycetes; Sordariales; Chaetomiaceae. The record is from RNAcentral.